CUGGUUAAGGCAGGCCGACACCUUAGAAAGGGAGCAGAAUGAGAGAAAAUAAAGCAGAACUCGCUCUACUAUCUUUGCUUCACUUGGUGUCACCCCUAAGAUGAGCUGAGUGGAGCUCAGCGUUGGACGAUGAAAUUCACUCUGUAUGACCUGUAACAUUUGAUCAUUUUCAGCAUUAAAGACUGACCAAAGAACGAUAGAUUUCCUCUGUCCCAGUCCAGAUUCACUCUAAUCCUCUGGAUCUUCUUCUGGACUGAGAGAAAAAUGAGAGGAGCUGGUGGAAACUGUUUUAUAUUUAUCUUCAUUGAACUAUAUAUUUUCAAUUUUACGCAUUGCAUCAUGGGAAGAAGAACCUUUCCGAAGCGCGAAAACUGGUCUGACGAUAUUUCAAGCUCUCACUAACCGGACCCUGGAACAUCUGUGUUUUGGACUUCGGUUGGAUUAAGAGUUGGAGGAACUUUUCUGGCACCUCCGUGUUGCAUCCAGACAGUCCUGAACUUUACCUGCCAAGCAACUGCACAUCUUUAUAAUGGAGUUUUUCUAGACUUACACCCUGAACAAGGUCAACUGAGAAACAACUUUUCACUGAAAGUCCAUGGAAAAUUUGAGCCUUUUAAAGUUUUAGAAUUAAAUGUGGAUGUUCUCUCAAAGGUGUCAGAAGAACUAAGUGAAAAGAUUUUCUAAACUAUCGCUAGAGAUGCAUUCUACUCUGCUACUGGACUGCAUUUAAUGGCACUAGUUGAUUACCCAGAUGGUCACUGUUUUGUGGAAAAAGUCAAACGUCACUUGGAGAAUCCUGUUCCUCCAAGGAAAAUGUUUGCAUCUACAAAAAGAAAGAUCAUGAAGACUUUUUUUUCCUAAUGAGGACUUGUAUUCAGAUGAAAAUUGUCUGAGUGCAGAUUAUACUUGGGCAGGCAUGGAUCCUGAACAAUUUUUGAGUGAUGCGAAACCAAACGUGGAACCAAAUAUGAAAGGAGAGGUAUGGUGGAAAAAAUUCUAGUUAUAGAUCUAGCUAUGCUGCUUAUAAAAUGAAGCACAUGAACCUGUCUGGGAAGAAGUAAAGGACAUAGAUUUUGUCUUUUUCGACGAGAUGGAAAGAAAACUGCUGAGACAUCUUCCAACUUCUCUGUGGCAAUGAUGAUGUAGUUAAAGGCUGUUUAAGAUAAUAAAAAGUGACAACCCACUAGUUACUUACAAGCUUAUACGGUGUUUCAGACAAACCCUGGCACGUUCUAGGAAAAUCAAAAAGACGAUCUCAGAAAGGCAUGGAAAUGCAUUCAUCAUGUCUGUUGUGGAGAUGAUUCAGACGUUCAGAGGAAGAACCCUCUAAAAAUGGACCAAACAUUGAGCCUCGCCCCGCCUCCAACUCAGGACCAACAAACUGAAAGCCAGGACGCAGGUGAAGCCUCUACAAAUGUUUCUGGUGAUCCUCUUUUGGAGUCAGUCAACCCUGAAGAGCAGCACAAAAACCUCAGGAACAGUUACUGAGAGAGACUGGUUUCCUUGCUUCAAACAUUCAACAUUUUGCACUUCCAAUCAGAUGUUUUGUAUUUUUACAAAUUUAAUGGUAAAUUCAUA
Gambusia affinis (western mosquitofish) is the source of this 1578-nucleotide long non-coding RNA. RefSeq lists it as uncharacterized. NCBI's taxonomy places the organism in Eukaryota, Metazoa, Chordata, Actinopteri, Cyprinodontiformes, Poeciliidae. The record is from RefSeq and is a predicted model, not a curated record. The transcript has 3 exons.